RNAcentral lists this long non-coding RNA (233 nucleotides) under Ananas comosus (pineapple). RNAcentral's name for it is "long non-coding RNA (ACOM_LNC009181)". The record is from RNAcentral. Lineage: Eukaryota; Viridiplantae; Streptophyta; Magnoliopsida; Poales; Bromeliaceae.
AUAACUCUCAUUUUCUCGCAAGUAACUAGUUUGAGAAUAAAAGAGUAUAUAAGUAACAACAGCAUACUUUUAGUUUUCAAUGUGAGACUAAUUCUCACAUGUGAAAAUUUUAGAUGGGCUCCUUCCAGACAAGGCCCAUCAAAUAUUGGGUUGUCCAAGAGGUCUAAUAAGUUUUAAAUCACCAAAAUCGAAUAAAAUCUAACAUUUUUAGUCCAUUUCAUAUGGUGUGAUCU